RNAcentral lists this long non-coding RNA (1504 nucleotides) under Pelobates cultripes (western spadefoot toad). The record is from RNAcentral. Lineage: Eukaryota; Metazoa; Chordata; Amphibia; Anura; Pelobatidae.
GCAGAAAGGUGGACUUAAGUAUUUACUUGUAUUGUAGACAUGUUUUGGCUGCCCAUUUAUGAUUAAUAGUAAUAAAGGAACUCCUUUCGCUUCAGCAGUUACACAGCAGGUUUGUAAAAUGUUGAGUAUAGAUUGGAAAUUUCAUAUACCCUAUCACCCUCAGUCAUCAGGGCAAGUAGAAAAGAUGAAUAGAACGAUCAAGGAGAAAUUGACAAAAGGAGGCUUGGGUAGCACACGCAAUUGGCCAGACAAUUUACCAGCAGUUUUAGCUGAGAUCAGAAUGACCCCUAGUUCCACUACGGGUUAUUCACCAUUUGAAAUUUUAAUGGGGAGACCUUUUCCAACUUCAUGGUGUAAGUCCAAAGGUGCUCCGAUGGUGAGCGGAGACCUAAAUGUUGUGUUAUAUGUAUUGAACCUUGUAGACACAUUGAAUGGCAUCUAUGGUGAUUUGUCUCUAUCUCUUCCUCAUCCUUCAGGUACAACCACACAUCCUUUCAGGCCUGGAGACAAAGUCUUGGUGAAAUCCCUCUUCAAAUCCGGAACCUUUGAUCCAACGUACAGCCCUCUGACAACCGUUGUUGCUAUCACCAGAAGAGCCGUUCUGACCGAGGAGAACCAGAUAUGGAAUCAUGCAAGCAGAUUAAAAAGAUGUCCCAUCAAGCACUCUGGAUAUUCCAAGCAAAGAACGUUCAACCUCAGACUGAUCCAGAAUGAACAAUAGUGCUCGGUGCACCCUAAUUAUUCUUUUUUCCAUGGGACUUGGUUAUGCGCUGAUUAAUAUUAUUUGAUCCCAAAGAAAAGUGAUAGUAAAAUGUUAUUAAUAUAUUUCACUCUAAGCAGGCUUUAUCUUCUUCAUCAUGGGAAACAGACAAUCAUUUUAUUGGAUCUGUAAAGAAUUUAUACCAAGCCCUAAAUUUAAAUAAUUGUUUAAUAAACCUUAAUUCGUCCAGGAGGGAGGGACGGUCUUAUUAUAGCCAUGGCUCCCCGGAGAUUUUCUUCAGAAAUAACGGUUCUGAAGUUUUUUUUCUUCCCUGAGUGCUAUAAUAGACAAUUAAUUAAUUUACUGAUUUGUUAUUCUUUCAGAAUAAAAGAUUGGAAUGAUAUGGAUUAAUGAGCACCUUUCCCCUUAUAUCCUGUGUCACACUACACAGUAGAUUUAGUAAUGUCAGGAUGCUCUAUUAUAACAGGUGGCCUUUGAUCCUGAUUUGUAUCUUCUUCUUAUUUCCCCCCCUGCACUGCAUAUCCUGAUAACACCUUGUUGGGAAGCGUUUGUGUAAUCGAGUAACACCUUUUGACCAGCUAAUGCCAAAUGUGCUUUAAGUUCUUUGAAUAUGCAAUUGACAGGACAUGACUGUAUUAUGUGAAGACAACCCCUUUUUGGAUGUGUAUAGAAUUUUGUUAUAAGAUCUGUGUUCUCCACAUUAAAAUUAGGUGUAGUAUUCUGCCAUACACUUGUGUGAAUGAGUACUGCCCUCCGAGCUCGUAUUUCUGCUGUGUCCAUUCC